GUGGGGUGUCAGUGGGCUGACUGUGGUCUGAUAGGGGUGUCAGUGGGCUGACUGUGGUCUGAUAGGGGUGUCAGUGGGCUGACUGUGGUCUGAUAGGGGUGUCACUGGGCUGACUGUGAUCUGAUAGGGGUGUCAGUGGGCUGACUGUGGUCUGAUAGGGGUGUCAGUGGGCUGACUGUGAUCUGAUAGGGGUGUCAGUGGGCUGACUGUGGUCUGAUAGGGGUGUCAGUGGGCUGAAUGUGAUCUGAUCGGGGUGUCAGUGGGCUGAUUGUGAUCUGAUAGGCGCAUCAGUGGGCUGACUGUGGUCUGAUAGGCGCAUCAGUGGGCUGACUGUGGUCUGAUAGGUGUGUCAGUGGGGUGGGGUGUCAGUGGGC
Molecule: long non-coding RNA, 374 nt
Organism: Oncorhynchus tshawytscha (Chinook salmon)
Lineage: Eukaryota; Metazoa; Chordata; Actinopteri; Salmoniformes; Salmonidae
Source: Ensembl